GGGGAUGUAGCUCAGCUGGGAGAGCGCCGGCUUUGCAAGCCGGAGGCCACGGGUUCGAAUCCCGUCAUCUCCACCA
This 76-nucleotide transfer RNA is filed under the name Burkholderiales bacterium. Its description in RNAcentral is "tRNA-Ala". It matches the Rfam family "tRNA". Rfam says of the family: Transfer RNA (tRNA) molecules are approximately 80 nucleotides in length. The record is from RNAcentral. RNAcentral also lists the same sequence under 8 other names. Lineage: Bacteria; Pseudomonadati; Pseudomonadota; Betaproteobacteria; Burkholderiales.